Molecule: long non-coding RNA, 1655 nt
Organism: Rosa rugosa (rugosa rose)
Lineage: Eukaryota; Viridiplantae; Streptophyta; Magnoliopsida; Rosales; Rosaceae
Exons: 2
Source: RefSeq, a predicted model, not a curated record
UUAAAGUGGUAUUUUAAUAGUUAAUUCCUCACAUUUUGCUUAGUUAAUUCCUUAACGAAUCGAUUUUUAACUCAAUUUCUAUUUUCUUAGGUACAUUGGAGUAAAUGAUGGUGAAAUGAGCAUUAGGUCCACACUUACCUAUAAAUGGUGGAGAAAAAUGGAAAUGUACUAAAAUGUCAAUUUUACACAUUUUCCUACUCCGGCUAGGAGAAACCAAGCCAAGCAAGGAAGAAGGAGCGGACGCCUGACCAAAUGAACUCUAAAUGAGCUGAAACUUUCCAGAUCCAUUCUAGACAUCCUAAGGAUCAUUUCUUAUGAAGAGUGCCAGAGCUAGUUUUGAGUGGAAGGCCUUCAAACAGUCAGCCCAAUUUCCUGCAGAAGCAAAACUGGAAAACUGGACCCGUAAGGAGUCCAGCAGAGAUUCUGGCCCAAAGGCAUGGAAAUAAAUUCUGAAAUUUUACCAAAAUGAUCUACACUCAUGGUAGAUCAUUUCAUAUGAAGAAGUCACGAGCCAAAUCUGAAGUCCUGUUGGAGAAAUAAUUGAAGGAAUAAAGGGGCAGAAACUGAUCUAAAAACAGCUCAACACCACAUGUUCAAGUUUCCUACCCACAUGAAGAAAGCUAGAUGCUUUUCUCUUUUUCCUUGGAUAUAUUUUUCUGCUCCAAUAGAUCAUCAUCACUUCCAUACUUCUGCACCUUCAUGCCUUGCUUUCAUUUCAUCAUUACUCCAUCUUUUCCAUAUUUUACAAACCACUUUCAUUAUUUUUCUUCCAUUUAUCAUUUCACUCUUCUUUUUCUUCCCUAUAUAAACAUCUUCUCCUCUCACUCUAACCAAAUUCCUUCAUCCAUUCCAUCUUCUUUGUCUCUCCAUUUCCUUUCCAUUUUCCCACACAUUCCUUCAUCCAUUCCAUCUUCUUUGUCUCUCCAUUUCCUUUCCAUUUUCCUUUCCAACAUCCUCUAGGGCAAGCCACGAAGUUCAAGCAAGGCCAAGGAAGAGAAGAACCAAGCCGUGAGCAUCAUCAUCCAUCCUCCACCUUUGAAGCUUGCUUUCGAGUCUCAAAGGAUUCAACGUUAUUCACCCAUCUUCAUCUUCCAUCCACGGUGUGUACCCUCAAUCCCCGGAAUAGAACGAUCCCUACUUGCUUAUACUACUAAUGAUAUUUUUAGGGUUAAAUUAUGCGCUUGCUUUGAGCGUAUCAGAUGUUGGAUAGGAAUGUGAUUACUUGGACUAGCAUGAUAUCUAGUUAUUGCAGGUCUGGCAAUGUGGAUGAAGGGCCGGUAUGCUUUGUUUCGGAAAAUGCCUGAGAGGAACGUUGUUUCUUGGACAGCCAUGAUUGGUGGCUUUGCUUGGAAUGGAUUUUAUAGAGAAGCUCUAUUGUUAUUCCUUGAAUGGAAUGGGAACUAUGAAACAAGACCAAAUGGAGAGACGUUCAUUCGCUUGUAUUUGCUUGUGCUGGUAUUUGGUUGCCUCAUCUUGGAAAGCAACUACAUGCUCAGUUGAUUGUCAACAAUUGGGACCAUGUUGAUUAUGAUGGCAGGCUAUCAAAGAGCCUUAUUCACAUGCUCAGUUCAUUUUUGUAAUUGCUAGAUGGAACUUUAUUAGCAUGUGGAAUGUUAAAUCAGUGUAUCUCACAUUGUGUUGUAUUAAUCGGUGGA